This 618-nucleotide long non-coding RNA is filed under the name Marmota marmota marmota (Alpine marmot). Its description in RNAcentral is "lncRNA (ENSMMMG00000019901.1)". The record is from RNAcentral. Lineage: Eukaryota; Metazoa; Chordata; Mammalia; Rodentia; Sciuridae.
AAAUCCAACUGCGCCACGGGGCGGAGCGGCCCCCCCAGCCCCGGCCUGGGAGAGGGGGGGCCCGCUCGACCCUCGGGAGACCUUGGGGACCCUAAUCACCUGGGACCCCCCCAGAACCAGGUUCCCCCCAGGCACCAUGCCAGCCCCAUAACACUACCCACUCCACUGUGGUCUGCUGCACCCCACUGCUGGGGCACUGUUCUAAUGAGACAGGGCACACCAAACUCCAUCUGCCGGGCUGUUACUGAGGCGGAGACACGGGUGAUGAUUGGCUUUCCGGGGAGAGAGGAAGUCCUGUGAUUGGCCAGAUCUCUGAAGCUCGCCCGACGCGUAAGAGGACGCUCCCACCGAGGCCGGGUAAGCACCAGCAACGUUGCGGGUUUGUGGGUCAGCAGGCAUGUCCCUGGAGCUGAAACCUAGCAGGUAGUGCAACUACACAGUCGCCCCACAGUUGACUCCCUGUCACUCCGAACUUAUAGUGACACUACUUUUCAGGACUUCAGGGACCCUUAGGCCCUGUAGAUCUCCCUCAGACUUCCUGCACAAAAAAGCAGACCUGGGGGUGCUACAGGCAUUCCAACUCAACCCCUGGGCCCUGUGUGCUGGCCAGCUCACUGC